Carassius gibelio (silver crucian carp) is the source of this 951-nucleotide long non-coding RNA. RefSeq lists it as uncharacterized. Lineage: Eukaryota; Metazoa; Chordata; Actinopteri; Cypriniformes; Cyprinidae. The transcript is spliced from 3 exons. The record is from RefSeq and is a predicted model, not a curated record.
GCAGUGACAACAGAGUCCUGUAAACAAACUCACACACUCAUUUUCAGCAACACCCUGCACAGUAAAAUCAGCAGUGUAUUUGCAUUGUUAAAAGUUAUUAAUUCACAAAGAGUUGACAAUCUACAGUUUUAAACAGGACUCAUGUUCAGUGUUGUUAUAUUGUGUAAUUUAACUUUUACACAAAGUGCGAAAUAAAAAAACAGCUGAAUUUUCUGGACUCCGCCCCUCAGUGACUGCUGACUCGAGAAGCGAUAACGCCAUAUUUACUUCGAGGGAACGAGACGGUUUAGUGUCAAGUUCGUGUUCGUGAGGUGCUGAGAUGUAAGUUACAGAAGAGUGAAUGUUUCUCAUGCAGUUUCAAUUUCCUGAAAAAAAGUUUAUUUCGUUAACGUCCUCUCGCCUCUGUUCCCGCCGAGGCCUGUGUUAUGGCUACAAGCAUCAUCUGUAUUUGGGCUGCACACAUCACUUCCCCAGAGGUGGAAGCCUUUGCUGCAGGACCUUUCGAGGUGGUGAUGCACACUCUAGUCCCUGAAUAUGUUCUCGAGGUCACUGUAGUGCCAGAAUCCGCACCAAUCUUUGAGUCCGCUUCAGUUUCCAUCAUCAUGGCAAGGAGUGCUGCUUCCUGUUCCCAUAAUUCCAGUUCUCUCGCCACGGUCAGGAGCACCGUUUCAUGUUCCAAUGCUUCCAGUUCCCUCAUCACGGCCGGGAGUGCGGUUUUCUGUUCCAGUGACUCCUGUUCCAGUGUCUCCCUAGGUGUCGGCAUCUCCAGCACCUCUGGGGUUAUUGGGUGUGUUUGCUUCAGCUCCCUCCACAACAGGGGUAUCCUCUUAUGAACUCUUUCUCUGUGCUGAUGAGGUCACAGAGACCAUCAGUGAAUCCCCUGUCAUACCCGACUUCUCCAGGAAAAGACUACAAUUUUGUUUUUGUGUUUUCAUGUUUUUUUUUUUUUUU